This 426-nucleotide ribosomal RNA is filed under the name uncultured prokaryote. RNAcentral describes it as "bacterial SSU rRNA". It matches the Rfam family "Bacterial small subunit ribosomal RNA", at positions 355 to 796 of the family's 1533-position model. The record is from RNAcentral.
UGGGGAAUUUUCCGCAAUGGGGGCAACCCUGACGGAGCAACGCCGCGUGGGGGAGGAAGGUCUGUGGAUUGUAAACCCCUUUUCUCAGGGAAGAAGCUCUGACGGUACCUGAGGAAUCAGCAUCGGCUAACUCCGUGCCAGCAGCCGCGGUAAGACGGAGGAUGCAAGCGUUAUCCGGAAUUAUUGGGCGUAAAGCGUCCGUAGGCGGUUUUUCAAGUCUGCCGUUAAAGACCACAGCUUAACUGUGGGCCGGCGGUGGAAACUGAAGAACUGGAGUACGGUAGGGGUAGAGGGAAUUCCCAGUGUAGCGGUGAAAUGCGUAGAUAUUGGGAAGAACACCAGUGGCGAAGGCGCUCUACUGGGCCGUAACUGACGCUGAGGGACGAAAGCUAGGGGAGCGAAAGGGAUUAGAUACCCCCGUAGUCC